GGGAUACCACUGUUUCAAAAGGUGUCUAAAAGAAAAAAUCAAACUUUGUUAGAUAUGGUUCGAUCCACUAUGAAUUUUGCUGGUCUGCUUGAGGUUAUAUUUUAGAGAUUACUUGAUAUAUGCUCGAGAACAUUUUGAGCAAAUCAGUUACCAAAACUCCAUAUGAGAUAUGGAGCUGGUUAAUUCGAUGUUCUCUUAUCUUAGGGUUUGGGAUAUCG
Molecule: long non-coding RNA, 218 nt
Filed under: Elaeis guineensis (African oil palm)
Lineage: Eukaryota; Viridiplantae; Streptophyta; Magnoliopsida; Arecales; Arecaceae
Description: long non-coding RNA (EGUI_LNC042706)
Source: RNAcentral